CAGCAAUUGAUGCAGAAUAGUGUACCUCUUUGUAAGGGCCAUCAAGAACCUUGUGUUCCUCGGGUCGUUAAAAAAGCAGGGCCCAAUUUGGGCCGCAGAUUUUAUGCUUGUGCUCGAGCUGAGGGACCUUCAUCAAAUGCUGAAGCAAACUGCGGUUACUUCAAAUGGGCUGCUUUCCUAAAAUCCAAGGGAAAAGGAAAAUGAAGUCUCCAGUCUCCACUGCAUAUAUUCACCUCAGGUUAGCAAAUUGCAGUUACUUCGAAUGGG
Molecule: unclassified non-coding RNA, 267 nt
Filed under: Hevea brasiliensis (rubber tree)
Lineage: Eukaryota; Viridiplantae; Streptophyta; Magnoliopsida; Malpighiales; Euphorbiaceae
Source: RNAcentral